RNAcentral lists this long non-coding RNA (1046 nucleotides) under Dromaius novaehollandiae (emu). Its description in RNAcentral is "lncRNA (ENSDNVG00000004031.1)". The record is from RNAcentral. Lineage: Eukaryota; Metazoa; Chordata; Aves; Casuariiformes; Dromaiidae.
GCCCACAAGCCAGGCCAGGAGCCCAGGCAGCCAAGUCAGAGGAGCCAGGACCUCCUCAGCAGCUUCAGCAAGCCUGCUUCUUCCAGCAGCACUGUGCAGAAAAUGGUGACCAUGCUUAUUUUUGUGUCUGUUGUGAAUGAGAAGUACUGCAUCAAAAGAAACACAAAUGGCACCUGUCCAUUCCCAGGGGAGUGGUUGAAGACUCCCGAUAAUUCCAGUAUUGCAAACAUAUUUGAGACAAGCCACAAAAAUGUUGCUUCAAGGUCAGGACUACUGCUGGAGCGAGUGACUGCUUCCUAUUUUGGAAACUUCAUGACAUUUCAUGAAAGGGCAAAAAGAAGGCUCUAAUGGUCUUGUUUCCAGUGCCUGCCAGUGCCUGUGAGUGCAGUUCAGGCCCUCUGUAUUUGGGAUGUUUAAAAUAUAACCAGGAAGAAAUGAUCUUUCUGUGUGGCCUAGAAGUGGUUGCUCUAGAGUCUUUUGGUGGGUUUUGAGGUGGAAAAACUCACUGUCAAAAUGGAAGGAUUAUUUCUCUUUCUCCCUGUAGGGGCUUCACUAUGGCUGAAACCUGGAGGGACACAUUUUGAUCACUGGCUACUCAAAGUGAGAAAUUCGCAGGAUUGCACUCAGUAAAAAUGCCCCAGUUCUCCAAGGUGUGGAGCAAUCAUUUCUCCCUUCGCUGCUGGCAAAUCUGCAGCUGCUCUAUGCCUAUAUGAAGCAUGUUCAUUCUGUGCAUGUCCCCUUAGCAGCUGGCUUGUGAGUAUUCAUUAAAAAAAACACUUAAACUUGUAAAAAGAAUGACAAGGUGAUUUUGUUAAAGGAAACCCUCUCUUUUACUUCCCCCCCCCCCCCCUCACUCUCCCCUUAAGUGUAACAGUUGCAUAGAGGUGUCUGGCUUGCAUCUUAGUGUGUUGAUGCAUGGAUCCUCCACUGAAAAAGACCCAUCCUUGCAAUCAGAGAGGGACUUUGGCUUAGCACAGAUACAGCCCCACACUUUCCCUAAAAGAGUCCAUAAGCACCACAAGGCAUUGUGUGGUCUAUCAGCUUGU